AACACUUUGGGGUAUCCACCCAGUGUUAUAAACAGCUGAGUAGCAUAUUAUAUAGGUACUUUAUAGGUUAGAAAAUGGUAUGUUUAUUUUGGUAAGAUUGGGUAGUUGAAAUGUCUUCGACACGGAUGUCAUAGUGGGUCAGUCAAGGACUGAGACCUGUAGUGAUAUUUUCAACUUUACCUAUACGCUUUUAGCUAUAUUGAGUGGACAAAACUUACCGGAGCGGUAGGUCAGUAUGUGCGUUCACUCCGUUGCAUUUUGCGCAUCCAUGUCGUGUUCCUGCGUUGUGCUAGGACACAGGCACUUUGUUUUCGUUGUGGUAUAUACAUUUCACAAUUGAAACACAUUUUAAAACAUAGAAAUACCACGUAUUAACAGUAUGAUUUCGAUAAAACCGAGCAGUUGUUUAUUUCAGCGGUAGACACUGACGGCUGUCAAUGUCAUUUGGUUUUUUUUGUCCAUGGUUCCGUAACAGAUGGUCGGUCACACUUGUUGUACGACAAUAAACAUAUACUUGUGGUUCUUUUAUCUUUUUAUAAUUUCCAAUUAUUAAUAAAGUCCGUAUUAUUUGCUUCCCAAAAUGAGUAACUCUUUUUAUUGUUGAUGUUUCGAAUUAUUCCGAGGGUCAAACCGGUCAGUCGCCGUAUCCAUUGAAUGGGUAGGUUUUCAUUCAUCAGUUUGUCUAUGGUUUCUCGGAUUGGAAUUUUGAUAAAUGAUUGUUCGAUCGAUCUUCAAGAUGUGAAGUAUAUUAGAAAAUCUUUCGGCAAUCAAUCUUAGGGCUCGUCCCAAAAUGUGCAUAAUUUAGAGUCUUAGAGCCUACCUAAAAUGGCGGCUGCUAAUCUUUUCCCUUCAAUUUAACAUAACUUGUGUUUUAUGUGGAUUUUCCAGCAAAACCUAAUGUAACGUCAACCACCUCUUCGUCUUGCCACGCGGUCUGCAGGCGCCGUCGUUGGUAUAGGAAAUAAUGGACCCGGCAUAAACCCCGGUAAGUCAUUUAAUCGCUUCAUUGCCGUAAUUUAAAUCGCGCUGUGCCUCAGUUUAAAAUAUAAUUUUUCUAUAAAGCUAAACGUGUUAAAACAUAAUUUUUUUUAACCUAGAACAUUUUCUUUGUUCUUAGGGUUCUUUCCUGGACCCUGAUUUUUCCUGGACCCUGGUUUUUUCCUGGACCCUGGUUUUUUCUGGACCCUGGUUCUCUAAGGCUGUGCCAUCCGGUGGCAGCGUUCUUCUUGGCAGUGUCCGUGAAGUUAAGACUUUUAUGAAUAUACCUUUAGUUAAAUAUGGACUCUUUACGCUGAACAGGUAACCUGUAAUCCCUGUGAGCAAUUGCUUACUGCUAAACAUCCCCGGAGGUUGGGGCAUAACUUUUACUUUAGACAGUGUUAUGUUAGGAAGACAAAUUUUGAUAUUGUUGUCCGUAGACACAGAGAUGUCUAUGAUGUAUUUAGUGUAAAUUUCAAGAAAUAGUGGUGUCACUAAGAAGUAUUUAGUAUUACUUAUUUACUAAUAAAUAACUCGUGUUGACCGUAGCGGGUCAUAUAUAUUUAAGGAAUAAACUGUGUAUUAAAUAAA
Molecule: long non-coding RNA, 1569 nt
Organism: Cydia pomonella (codling moth)
Lineage: Eukaryota; Metazoa; Arthropoda; Insecta; Lepidoptera; Tortricidae
Exons: 2
Source: RefSeq, a predicted model, not a curated record